RNAcentral lists this small nucleolar RNA (161 nucleotides) under Pelusios castaneus (West African mud turtle). RNAcentral's name for it is "Small nucleolar RNA SNORD97 (ENSPCEG00000019329.1)". It matches the Rfam family "Small nucleolar RNA SNORD97". The record is from Rfam by way of RNAcentral. Lineage: Eukaryota; Metazoa; Chordata; Testudines; Pelomedusidae.
UUGCCCAAUGAUUAUAGCAAGACGCGUUAUUACGAGGACUAAUGCUGGAACUCUUCUUAUCCUCCUCUUUUCUUCUUUGUCCCUUCUCCACUUUCACUUUAACCCUCAUUUAUCUUGGGUGUCCAGCGUCCUAUGAGCAAGAUUAUGAGAUAUGAGGGCAA